AAAUCCAAUAUCCUCCAAGGGCAAAGGGCCUUUGAAAUUGAAAUCAUUUUCCAUUUAGAAAAACGGACCAAGUGACAGUACCAGUCCUCUCCCUCCCUCCAGCCAGUGGGGAUGUCGCUGCCUGGCAGCGUGCCAGGGGCAUCCUGGAUGCUCAGUGCGUGUGGCUGAGGAUGUCUCUGCCACCUGAUGCUGACAUUUUGUGCCAUUCGCUCUAUUCCAGAAACAGGGGCUGUGUGCUGGAGGAAGGCUUCCCUCCGCUAUGUGCGGCUGCCAAGGCUGGUGCACGUGCUAGUUUGUUUGCUCGUUGGUUCCCCUGUCUUUUGCAGCCCAGCCCCAUCCCAUGACAGCCCGCAGCUGGAUCCCGGGGCAUGCUCAAGGUGUCUGCCAAGGCCGCUUAUCCCCAAACCCAAACAGACUUCCCUCCCGCUCUUUUCCCUCUGCUCCUGUUCAUCUUCUGCCUCUCCGCCUUCCCUCCAUCCGUCCUUCUCCCUGCCCUCUUCCCAGCCUCCCUGCCUCCCCCACCUUCCCCUCGCCCUCUCCCUCCCCCUUCUGUCCCCGAGACCCCAAGACCCCACGGCUCUCUCCCUCUGUUCUUCUGUCUUCCACGCUCCCUUUUCAUCCCCGGAUUAUUUCAGUGUCCCUCUCCCUUGCUUCCCUGUUUUCCCCAAUGACCUCUUCUUUCCCCUCUCAUUUAUGCCUCAUCCCCUCUCCUCCUGCACCUCUUCCUUUCCUUCCUCCUCUCCAUCACCUCUUUGCACUUCCCUCCCCUCUCCUGUCCCCCAGUGUCCUCCCCCUCUGUCUCCUAAUCUCUGGGCUCUGACUCCCCACCCUCUCUCCCUCUCUCUCUCUGUCUCUCACCCUCCCUGUGUCUCUCCUCUCUGGCUCCCUCCUGGGGAGUUCCAGAAACAUACCCAUAUAUGGCCUCCAUGUCAAGGAUCACAAAUGACGACGUCACGUGAGGGCCAGUGCUCGGAGAUGCUCUCUGCCGCGAGGGCUUUCUAA
This 1002-nucleotide long non-coding RNA is filed under the name Ursus maritimus (polar bear). Its description in RNAcentral is "lncRNA (ENSUMAG00000004495.1)". The record is from RNAcentral. Lineage: Eukaryota; Metazoa; Chordata; Mammalia; Carnivora; Ursidae.